CGCUGGCGGCGUGCCUAAUACAUGCAAGUCGAACGGUCUUUCUAUGGAAGCUUGCUUCCACUGAGAAGAUAGUGGCGAACGGGUGAGUAACACGUGGGUAACCUGCCCAUAAGAGGGGGAUAACAUCCGGAAACGGGUGCUAAUACCGCAUAGUUUUCUUGAUCGCAUGAUCGGGAAAGGAAAGACGGCCUUUGUGCUGUCGCUUAUGGAUGGACCCGCGGCGUAUUAGUUAGUUGGUGAGGUAACGGCUCACCAAGACGAUGAUACGUAGCCGACCUGAGAGGGUGAUCGGCCACAUUGGGACUGAGACACGGCCCAAACUCCUACGGGAGGCAGCGGUAGGGAAUCUUCCGCAAUGGACGAAAGUCUGACGGAGCAACGCCGCGUGAGUGAAGAAAAGGUUUUCGGAUCGUAAAACUCUGUUGUCAGAGAAGAACAAGUUGGAGAGUAACUGCUCCAGCCUUGACGGUAUCUGACCAGAAAGCCACGGCUAACUACGUGCCAGCCGCUGC
This 512-nucleotide ribosomal RNA is filed under the name uncultured bacterium. RNAcentral's name for it is "bacterial SSU rRNA". It matches the Rfam family "Bacterial small subunit ribosomal RNA", at positions 34 to 518 of the family's 1533-position model. The record is from RNAcentral.